Molecule: ribosomal RNA, 403 nt
Filed under: uncultured bacterium
Lineage: Bacteria
Description: bacterial SSU rRNA
Rfam family: Bacterial small subunit ribosomal RNA
Source: RNAcentral
GAGCGCUCGUAGCAAUACGGGAGCGGCAGACGGGAGAGUAACACGUGGGAACGUACCCUUCGGUUCGGAAUAACCCAGGGAAACUUGGGCUAAUACCGGAUACGUCCGUAAGGAGAAAGAUUUAUUGCCGAGGGAUCGGCCCGCGUCCGAUUAGUUAGUUGGUGGGGUAAAGGCCUACCAAGACAAUGAUGCGUAGCCAAACUGAGAGGUUGAAUGGCCACUGGGAAACUGAGACACGGUUCCCACUCCUACGGGAGGCAGCAGUGAGGAAUAUUCCGCAAUGGGCGAAAGCCUGACGGAGCAAUGCUACGUGAAGGAUGAAGGUCUAAGGAUUGUAAACUUCUGUUCGGAGGGAAGAAAAAAAUGACAUUACCUCCGGAGAAAGCCACGGCUAACUACGCUG